This 253-nucleotide ribosomal RNA is filed under the name uncultured bacterium. RNAcentral's name for it is "partial 16S ribosomal RNA". It matches the Rfam family "Bacterial small subunit ribosomal RNA", at positions 524 to 776 of the family's 1533-position model. The record is from RNAcentral.
UACGGAGGGUGCAAGCGUUAUCCGGAUUCACUGGGUUUAAAGGGAGCGUAGGUGGGCUGGUAAGUCGGUGGUGAAAUCUCCGGGCUUAACCCGGAAACUGCCGUUGAUACUAUCAGUCUUGAAUGUUGUGGAGGUAAGCGGAAUAUGUCAUGUAGCGGUGAAAUGCUUAGGUAUGACAUAGAACACCGAUAGCGAAGGCAGCUUGCUACACAAUGAUUGACACUGAGGCUCGAAAGCGUGGGGAUCAAACAGG